AGCGAACGCUGGCGGCAGGCCUAACACAUGCAAGUCGAACGAACCUUUCGGGGUUAGUGGCGGACGGGUGAGUAACACGUGGGAACGUGCCUUUAGGUUCGGAAUAACUCAGGGAAACUUGUGCUAAUACCGAAUGUGCCCUUCGGGGGAAAGAUUUAUCGCCUUUAGAGCGGCCCGCGUCUGAUUAGCUAGUUGGUUGAGGUAAUGGCCCACCAAGGCGACGAUCAGUAGCUGGUCUGAGAGGAUGAUCAGCCACAUUGGGACUGAGACACGGCCCAAACUCCUACGGGAAGCAGCAGUGGGGAAUCUUGCGCAAUGGGCGAAAGCCUGACGCAGCCAUGCCGCGUGAAUGAUGAAGGUCUUAGGAUUGUAAAAUUCUUUCACCGGGGACGAUAAUGACGGUACCCGGAGAAGAAGCCCCGGCUAACUUCGUG
This 434-nucleotide ribosomal RNA is filed under the name uncultured bacterium. RNAcentral's name for it is "partial 16S ribosomal RNA". It matches the Rfam family "Bacterial small subunit ribosomal RNA", at positions 29 to 507 of the family's 1533-position model. The record is from RNAcentral.